This 562-nucleotide ribosomal RNA is filed under the name uncultured bacterium. Its description in RNAcentral is "bacterial SSU rRNA". It matches the Rfam family "Bacterial small subunit ribosomal RNA", at positions 331 to 905 of the family's 1533-position model. The record is from RNAcentral.
CCGGAAUCCUACGGGAGGCAGCAGUGGGGAAUAUUGGGCAAUGGGCGCAAGCCUGACCCAGCAACGCCGCGUGAAGGAAGAAGGCCUUCGGGUUGUAAACUUCUUUUCUUUAGGGACGAAGAAAGUGACGGUACCUAAGGAAUAAGCCACGGCUAACUACGUGCCAGCAGCCGCGGUAAUACGUAGGUGGCAAGCGUUAUCCGGAUUUACUGGGUGUAAAGGGCGUGUAGGCGGGAUUGCAAGUCAGAUGUGAAAACCAGGGGCUCAACCUCUGGCCUGCAUUUGAAACUGUAGUUCUUGAGUACUGGAGAGGCAGACGGAAUUCCUAGUGUAGCGGUGAAAUGCGUAGAUAUUAGGAGGAACACCAGUGGCGAAGGCGGUCUGCUGGACAGCAACUGACGCUGAGGCGCGAAAGCGUGGGGAGCAAACAGGAUUAGAUACCCUGGUAGUCCACGCUGUAAACGAUGGAUACUAGGUGUGGGGGGUCUGACCCCCCUCCGUGCCGCAGUUAACACAAUAAGUAUCCCACCUGGGGAGUACGAUCGCAAGGUUGAAACUCAAA